Molecule: transfer RNA, 90 nt
Filed under: Candidatus Saccharimonadota bacterium
Lineage: Bacteria; Candidatus Saccharimonadota
Description: tRNA-Ser
Rfam family: tRNA
About the family: Transfer RNA (tRNA) molecules are approximately 80 nucleotides in length. Their secondary structure includes four short double-helical elements and three loops (D, anti-codon, and T loops).
Source: RNAcentral
GGAGGGGUCGCAUAGUGGACUAGUGCGCCGCACUCGAAAUGCGGUGAGGCGGCAACGCUUCCGAGAGUUCGAAUCUCUCCCCCUCCGCCA